AAGUGAGAUGGCCUUUGAGGCCACUGAGAGCUACAUAUUGGUAUAGGAGUUUGGGGUUACACUGGAGAGAAAGAAGGAUCUCUUCAAUGAUAAACAUCAGUGCCUGGGUUCAAUAAGGAUUUAUGGCUUGCUGUUUUGCAUUAGGAUUUGGAAACAGCAUCUUGGAUUGGCAUCAGUCAGUGGACCCUGGCUUUAGAACCACAGUUUCCCAGGCUUCUGUGGGCAGCAGGACCUGACCAAGUCCUCUUCCUCCCUGGAAGAGAAAGAAGCGAGAGAAACCCUGUAAUUCCUUCCAUGUGUCUCUUCCUACUUGCCUGGUCUAUGGGGUAUUCCCAGGCUGCAGUAAUUUGGAUAUUUUUCUCAUGACUUGCCCAUCUCCACAAAUCACCUAUAUAUUAUUUAUUUAGCAUUUGUUUUAAAACAACACUUUCUUAACUUCAAAUAUAAAUUUAUUUCAAAGAGAAAGUUAAUACCUUAAACAUCAAUGGAAAAACCAAUACUGCUUGUAAUAAAUAAAGCAAAAUAAUGUUAUUAGAUUCUAGAUCAAAAAAUUACCUGCCAAAGGUUCUGAGACAGAGUCCUACACCUCCUUGGUUUCAAAAGAGAGAGGUUAGCAAGUGAAAGGUGUUAUAAAGAUAUAUAGGAGAC
Long non-coding RNA from Bubalus bubalis (water buffalo), 648 nucleotides. RefSeq lists it as uncharacterized. The transcript has 3 exons. The record is from RefSeq and is a predicted model, not a curated record. Lineage: Eukaryota; Metazoa; Chordata; Mammalia; Artiodactyla; Bovidae.